CUCGCUCUAACGGGGUGCUUUGUCGAAAAGACAAGGCUGAGAGGCUUUGGCCAACCCGAAGAACCUGAUCCGGUUAACACCGGCGGAGGGAUUAGACGGCUUCCAUCC
This 108-nucleotide non-coding RNA is filed under the name Rhizobium sp. RNAcentral describes it as "TPP sequence". It matches the Rfam family "TPP riboswitch aptamer (THI element)". Rfam says of the family: Vitamin B(1) in its active form thiamin pyrophosphate (TPP) is an essential coenzyme that is synthesised by coupling of pyrimidine and thiazole moieties in bacteria. The previously detected thiamin-regulatory element, thi box was extended, resulting in a new, highly conserved RNA secondary structure, the THI element, which is widely distributed in eubacteria and also occurs in some archaea. Analysis of operon structures identified a large number of new candidate thiamin-regulated genes, mostly transporters, in various prokaryotic organisms. The record is from RNAcentral. Lineage: Bacteria; Pseudomonadati; Pseudomonadota; Alphaproteobacteria; Hyphomicrobiales; Rhizobiaceae.